This 287-nucleotide long non-coding RNA is filed under the name Elaeis guineensis (African oil palm). RNAcentral's name for it is "long non-coding RNA (EGUI_LNC000561)". The record is from RNAcentral. Lineage: Eukaryota; Viridiplantae; Streptophyta; Magnoliopsida; Arecales; Arecaceae.
GGUGGCAGAGUUGGAGCAAUCUUUUCUCAAGGCGAUACGAGGCAACUUGGAUAGUGAGGCGACUAGGCCCAAGGGAAUUCGAGCGUUGUAUAUUGUGUUAGGUUCUAUUUUGACUCGUUCAUCGUGGGUGAAACAUAAACCUAUUUGGACUCCUUUUUAUUUUUUUAUUUUCUUUCCUAUUAGAAUCCUUCUUGGUUUGCAAUAGCAGCAAUAGUGGGAUCUAUAUAUAUCCCACAUCUUCAGCGAACCAAGAGACUAUUCUCAUCUUCCUUUUUUUCGCAAGCUGC